AAAUUAAAACAUAAAUAUAUAUGUUUUGAUUUAAAGUUAUAAAAACCUGAAGUCCUACAUUCUGUCGAUACUUAUAUUUGGGCAUUGCACAAUUUCAUAAACUCGUCAUAGAUACCAGGAUUGAUAUUUUUAUAUUUGCGUCAGACGCGCGUUUUUAUUUUGCAAAAGACUCAUCAGUGACGCUGAAAUAAAAAACGUUAAAAAGGUCAAAAAAUAAAGUACGAAGUUGAAGAGCAAUGAGGACCAAAUAUAUCUAAAAGUUUAUCCAUCUGAAACAUGACAACUAUCCUUAUAUAUUUACAGCUGGAUGAGAGAAGUUCUUAAAAACAUACCGAUAAAAUCGAUUGAUAUGCAGCAACGAUUAUUAUUUUUCACAUUCAAAUAGUCCUUAUUCAGAUUGAAACAUGUGAAAUGUAAUGCGAAUACGUCGAGAAGAACGCAUUUACACGUUCCUAAAUCGAAAUGAUUCAAUUUUGAUUUUUUUAACUCUUUAAACAGAUAAUCUAUUGUGUAAAAAAUAAAUGUCUUUAAUUUUGUUCUACAUGAACAGAGAUAACUUUUAAUCUUUGUAUUCCCAGAAAUAAAAAAAAAUGAAAAGAUGUGGUAUACUUGCCAAUGAAACACCUUCCCACCAUAGAGAAAAUAACGCAGAAGUUAACAACGAUUAGUCACUGUAUGUCCUUGAACAAUGAACAAAAGGGAGAAAAAGACUAAUAUUUGUAUAUUCUUGUCAUGAUUAUGAGCUGAUCGGCGUGCUCACAACUUAGUUUGGGAAUAUAGGUCUAUUUUGAAAAAUUGUAUCAUGCUUAGAACUAUUUAAAUGCAUUGAUUUAUUCAAAUGCUCUUAUCGUUAAGCAGAAAAGAUUAACAUUUUUUUCGCUAAAUAAUGAAUUGUAUAUAUAUUUCAAAUAAAAUUAUCUAACAGAUAAAUUCUUUAAGAUGAACAAUUGCGCUUUAGAAAUAUCUUUUCCUUAGUGUGGUUACCAGCUAAAACAAAAUAUUGAUUGUGUUGUCUUUAUCAUACGAGGAGUCACCUAUCUAUUGUUCCCGGGUCAUCGGUUUACCAAUUGUAAUAUCACAUUUAGUUUUACAGUUAUGCAAAUAUCUUUAUUUCUAUGGAAAUAAAGAUUGCAAUUAAUACAGGCAGGAA
This 1150-nucleotide long non-coding RNA is filed under the name Mytilus galloprovincialis (Mediterranean mussel). The record is from RNAcentral. Lineage: Eukaryota; Metazoa; Mollusca; Bivalvia; Mytilida; Mytilidae.